UCAAAUUAAAAUUUUUUUAAAUCCAAAUAAAUAAAUAAAAAGUGCAAAUGAACAAUCCUUAAUUUUUGUGAGAUUUUUUUUCUUCAUGUUUUCUAGUUUUUUUUUAAAAUUUUUUAUUUGAUCAACAACCCUUGUAUUUGACUCUUUGAAUUUGUGGCAUGUAUCUUUUAAUGAUAAUUUCUUCAAAUAGGAGUAGGCCUAUAUAUGUUGUAUGUUAUUGAUAUGAAAGAAACUAUUAAUAUGUUUAAUUCCUUUGAACCUGAAAACAACUGUACCUAUGAUCUGUAAGUGAAAAACAAGCCAAACAUAUUGACUUUGAAACUAUAAUAUUUUGUAUGAAUUGUCCAAAUAUAUUCAUUUAAGGCUUUCAUGAACUCUAUGCAGGUUUUUUAAUACGAUUUUCUAGACAAAAUGUUACAGGGCAACAAUCAUUUUCUUAGCAGUUUGAUGUUACAUGUAAGUACAUAUAUACUUGUUCCUUGGUUCUAAUUUGGUGGGAUAUAGAUUUUUAAGUUACCUUUGUAAACGAUUAGCUCAUUCCUAAUUCUAAUUCCAGUUUCUGUAAUCAUAUUGCAGGGACUGUAAAACUAUCCAUGUCAUGAAGAAUUUUUUAUGCUUGAGUGUGUACUAUCUUGUUAUUGAUUGAGGGAGCAAUUGGUGGGAGCAAAUGGAAAGAUCUACCUGGUAAAGCCUUUGUAGACAAAUCAUCCCUUCACAAAUAUUACAAUUCAGAUCCUUUGGAGUAGUUAGAAGUGAUGAAGCCUUCAAACACAGUGUAUUCAUAGCUACAGAGUGCCCUGUUUUCACAUAGGUACAAAUUAUUCCACAAUCCCACUUUCUCAAAUGUUCGUUUUUUUUCUUACAACAAUAAUUCACAUAUAUGAGUUUCAACUGAAGUUAACUUGAUUUAUAUUUCAUCUCUAUGAAUAAGCAAAAACCUGAAUUAACAAAUGUGGGAACAAUUAGCCAAUCUCAUUGGUUUGGUUGCUGAGGAUUGUCUUCUUUAGAGUUUUGACAUUAUGCUUGCUCCUGAAUUCUCCAUGGUGACACCAUCAAUAUCUAUUCCUUGACUUUGCUCCAUGUGAAAGCUUUCAACUCAUUGGAGCAACUACUAAAGGAUUGUACUUGUGGGUUCUUCAGCUCAAGUCCUUGCCAAAACAGGGGUUGCCCUCCUCCCUUUCUCGUCUUUAUAUUCCAGGAUGUCCUCUGCUGAAGAAGCUAUGCCAAAGGUAUAAAAGGAAAAAAUUGCCCAACAUUUCUCACAUCCCCUGCAUUGUGAUACUUGAUGAAAUUGAUUCCUCAAUUGAAGAGGUCAUCUGGACAUAAGGCCCUUGCAUCCAAGCUUUUGCCUUUCUCUGCAAUUAUUGAUUCAGUAAGUAUUUUAUGUUUUUAUUUACUUUUUGUGCAAUCCAUGCACACCAAGUUUGUGAAUCAUUCUCUUUUACCAAUCAAUUCCAUCUCACCAUAGACCUUCCAUGGCUGCUCCAGAAUUGAAACCAGUAUUUUAAACUCUAAUACAAAAACAAAGCAAAGUACUGCUGCUUGAAAAUUAGUUUUAUUUUUUAAUUAAAUAAAUAUUAAAUGUGUGUAGUAGUUUUAAAUUUCUUUCUUUUUUUUAAAAUAUCUUUAGUAGUUAUAUAGCAAAACAGAAAAAGAAAUUUUCAAGGAUUUUUGAAUAAUUUUUUUGUGAUUUUCUAUGAUUUAUUUUAUGUUUACAAAAGAGGCAUGUUUUAUUGAUAAAUUUUAAAAUAAAAGAUCAAAAUACCCUACCAAAAUACAUUUUUGAAAUUGUUUUCAAAUUAAAAUAUUAUAACUGUAUGAUAGAAACACCUACCAUGGCAUCAUAUUUCAUAUGGCUUUGAAAUUAUCUACAGGUAGAAAUUGGAUGAGUAGGACUUUUCUACCUGUGUUUGUGACUGUGACUGUGGAUGCUUAUUUCUAGGUUAUUUUCAACAUGUGACUGUGUUUGUGGAUGCUUAUUUCUAGGUUAUUGUGGUGCUUGAAUGGAGACUGGUGGUUGGAAGUUGAUGUCAAAUCACCAAGACAUGAAAAUAUAUGGAUGCUAUACUCAUUGUAUAGACUUUUCACUUCUCCUCUGUCUUGCAUGGCACUUGGGUAUGCUCUUUUGCAUAGGGAGAGCUUAUGCAUGGUAGAAAAGCUCUCUUCUUGUUAGUGGGUCCAUUAACUGACUUAUAACUAUGAGAAAUAAAAAUAUAAGAUAAAUAACGCAUCAUAUCUCAUAUCGUUCUGAAAUUACCUGCAGGUGAAAGUUAGGCAGAUUUUUGUUGCCUUCCUAAGUUUUGUUGUUGCUAUAAAACCAUGUGUAAGUAGCUUCUACUUUUGGUAACUUAACAUGAGACUAGCUUUAAUGGAUGGAUUGAAAAUUAUUCUGGGUUUCAACUUUAUUACUGCACUCAUAAAAAUCUAGAUAGUUUGUGAAUUGCAAGUUGAUGUUUGUCUUAAUAGCUUAAUUUUCAGAUAUUAAAAAAAAAUCCACUGUAUUUCCCAAAAAUAUCUUGACAGAGCUAGAAGUAGGAGAAGCUAGAGAGAUAGGGGAAGAACCAAAGUCCAGAAUUAUGGGCAUGAAGGAGGAGAUGAAGCCCUUGUUGGUUUCAUAUAAAAUAACAAUGGUAAUACUAGAAAUACAAAGUUUUAUUGGAAUUAUAAAAGAACUUAGGGAAAAAGAUACAUCUUUUAGAUUUGGAAAAGCAAUUCCCUACUCUCCAACUUUCAAACUUUUACUGGUUCACUUCAAAAUCAAGCAUACGAUUUUGUUCACAACCAAGUUAAUUGCAUUUCAAUAUUGUAGGCUUCUGGCUUAAAUACAAAUCUCUUGGCUGUCAAAUAAGCUUUGCUGCUUUAAUUGAUCUAUGUCUCUGGAGUUUCAUGCCGACUUUGUGUGGCAGGGGACCAAAACAUUCUUCCUGCCCUUUGAAGAAGCCCAAACAGAGUUACCCUGAUCAGGUAGGGAAAUUGGACUUUUGAAUUGGGUUGCCAACUCUGUUAUGCAACAUAAAAUCCUCUCCUUUUCAAAUCUGCUAUACCUUCUUAGGUUAUUAAGAUGCUUUUUGUGUGAUCCAUAUUUACAGGAUGUGAAUGAGUGAAGACUUUGGUCCUGAAAAGUGUUGCAAAUGUGGUGAAGAAUCACUAGCACUCUAAUUUGGUGGGAUAUAGAUUUCUAAGCGACCUUUGUAAACAAUUAGCUCCUUCCUAAUUCUAAUUAUUCUGUUUCUGUAAUCUUUUGUCAGGGACUAUAAAACCGUUCAUGUCAUGAAGAAUUUUCUAUGCCUGAGUGCAUACUAUCUUGUUAUUGAUAUAGGAGGUUCUCCACCAAAAGACUCCAAAUGGAAAGAUCUACCUGGUAAAGCCUUUGUAGAGAACUUGGUGGCGAUCAGAAAAGCUUCCAGUACUACUAUAGUUGUUCUGUUUUGUUGGGGUUUUGUCAGACCAUUGUAAGAGAACAAAAACUUUCUCCAAGCCCUUUCAGAAACUUAUACCAAACCUGAAAAGUCCCAAUGGCACAGUAAGGUAGGGAAAUGGGAUUGCACCUGUGACCUGUUUCAUACUCAUACUAGCUCUUACUAAAACCAUUUUCUUUUUCCUCUUCUACAUUCUUAGAUCUUUGAAUCCUUGAUACGUACAUGGAUGCGUAAGUGGAGAUCUGGAGGUCUCAAAGGUGAUGCAAACACGGUGCAGAAUCACUGGUGGAGAUGUGGUGGGAUCAGAACUUGCAAUGCUCCCCCUGAAUGUGAAGAGUAAGGAAUGGCAGCAACGCCCUCUCAUUGGUUCCCAAGUUCAUGUAUCAAAUCAAGUGGAUGAUCUCACCACCACCCCGUAAGACUUCAUGUUUCACCCAGAACUGUUGGCAUGUCCAGUUCUUCGGUCUCUAAACUGUAAGCAUAUGAAAGAUGUUUCCCAAUAUCUGUUGUGCUCAAAAGGCAUCUUUAGCAAGACCUACAAUUUUGCUGAAUAGAAAAUUAGCUUACUUGAUGUCAGGUCAAGUAAACAUUAUCUUAGUGAACUUAAUGAAUUUUUUUUUUUUUAGUUAUGAUUCUUCAAUUUCAAGGAAUCUGAAAGUCUUUCGGCUCUUCGAGAUGAGGCUACCACCCAUGCUUGAAACCCUUGAGAUCCAAGGCUGUCCCAUUCUUGAGUCCCUGCCAGAGGGAAUGAUGCAAAAUAAUACUACUCUCCAAAGCUUGUCUAUCAUGCAUUGUGAUUCUCUAAGGUCCCUCCCCGGUAUCAAUUCAUUGAAAACACUUUUAAUUGAAUGGUGUAAGAAAUUGGAGUUAUCUUUGGCUGAGGAUAUGACACACAACCACUGUGCUUCCCUUACAACUUUAUAUAUAGGAAAUAGUUGCGAUUCUCUCACUUCCUUUCCAUUAGCCUUCUUCACAAAGUUUGAGACACUUGAUAUUUGGGGUUGUACAAACCUGGAGUCCCUUUACAUUCCAGAUGGAUUCCACCAUGUGGAUCUCACAUCUCUCCAGAGCUUGUAUAUCUAUUAUUGUGCUAAUCUGGUAUCUUUUCCACAAGGAGGAUUACCCACUCCCAACCCCAAAUCACUUCUAAUCAGCUCGUCCAAGAAGUUCAGGUUACUGCCCCAAGGGAUGCACACCCUCCUUACAUCCCUUCAACAUUUGCAUAUAUCUAAUUGUCCAGAAAUUGAUUCGUUUCCCCAAGGGGGUUUACCCUCUAAUCUAUCUUCCCUUCACAUCUGGAAUUGCAACAAAACUUGUGGCCUGCCGGAUGGAGUGGGGCUUGCAAACACUUCCCUUUCAUAGAAGCUUGUGGAUUGGAGGACAUAAAGAAGAAAGAUUGGAGUCAUUUCCUGAGGAGCAAUUUCUGCCCUCCACUCUCACCUCUCUUACAAUUGGGGCUUUUCCAAAUCUUAAAUCCUUGGACAAUAAGGGGCUUCAGUAUCUCAUCUCUCUUGAAACUCUGUAUAUUUUGAAUUGUGAGAAGCUCAAGUCCUUCCCAAAACAUGGGCUGCCCUCCUCCCUUUCUCGUCUUAAUAUUAGUAAGCGUCUGCUGCUAAAGAAGAGGUGCCAAAGGGAUAAAGGGAAAGAAUGGCCCAAGAUUUGUCACAUCCCCUGCAUAGUGAUUGAAGAAGAGUUCAUUUUGUCAUGAGGGCCUUGCAGCAUCCAAGCUCUUGCUUUCUCUGCAAUUAUUGAUUCAGGUACCUACUUUCUGCUUUUAUUUAUUUUUUGUACAAUAGAUGCUCACAAGUUUGCAUUUCAUUCUCAUUUAUCAAUCAAUUCCAUCUCACUUACUGUAUGGCUUACAUUUCUGCUUUAGAAUUGAAACCAAUUUUUUAAACUCUAAUAGCAAACAAAGCAAAUUGCUUGAAUAUCAAUUUAAAUUUUUAAUUACGUUUUUAUUUUUAUAAAUAUUAAAGGUGUGUAGUAUUUUCGAAUUUGUUUCUUAUUUAAAAAAAAAAACAUUUUUAGCAAUUAUGUAACUAAAAGGAAAAAGUAUUUUUAAGUCUGUGCUAUGUGGUUGUCAUUAGACCUAGGUUCCUCUUCAUGUUAUGCAGCUUCAUCAAUGGCAUCACUCAAGACUUAGGAAGAGGUACUAUUUUGUUGGCCUUUGGAAUAAAAUAUGUCUUUUACUACCAUGAAGAUUCUGUUUUACUGGAGUACCUAUCAGUAUGCAUGCUGCAGUGGCAUUGCAACACCUUUCAGAAGUUAACAUGAAAUUAGCCAGGUUAUGAACUUUGGAAAUUAGGCAGCGUCUACCCUUGAUACACAAAAGCACUUUUCAGCUGAAUCUGUUUUUGAAGAUGAAAUUUAAUUCCAUGGUGCAAUUUAGGGCCUGUUUGUUUAGUGUUUUCAAGAACUGUUUUCUGUUCUUGAAAACAAAAAACACCAAAAACUCGUUUGGUUGACAGGGUCGUUUUUGUUUUUGUUGUUUCCCGUGUUCUCAAAAUGGCACUGUUUAGAGAACAACAAAAUGUUGUUUUCCUCGUUUUUUUUACUGUUUACAGAACAAAAUUAAACAAAAAAAAACAACUUAUUCUCCGUGUUUUUUUUUUCUUCCCGUUCUCAUCUCUUCUCCAGCACAAUCUCAGUCUUGAUUCAAGGUUUGUGAAAUUUAAAUCCAAUGGCACAAUAGCAAAGAGACCCCUAAAACGGAUCCAGAAAACACAGGGAGCAAAAGAACCAUUUUUUUGGUUUUCCUUGGGGUUUUUGCUUGGAUUUUCUCAGAAAUCAAACGAGGAUGAAAUUUCCCGGAAAUCGAAUGGGGGAUGGAUUUUCUUGGUAAUCAAACGGGGGUUGCAAAAAUAAUAAUAAUAAUAAUAAUAACAUGAUUAGAUUAGUACCUGCGAGGAUUGAGAGUGGCAGAGGAAAAUAGGGCCUUUUAGGGAUUCUCUUGGCUGGAGGGCAACUUCAGAAAAGGGCUUUUUGAUGCCCGAGAGAGAGAGAGAAGUGGGUGGCAUUUUGGAUUUAGUAGAGAUAAAAAAAAAAUUUUAAUAAAUCACGAGCACAAUUUUAUCUCAAUUUAAUAGAAUAUGUUAUACCUUUUUAAGAUUAAAUAAAAAAAUAUUAAUAAAAAUAAUUUUAUUAUGUUUGAUUUAUUUUAAAAAAAUAUUUUUAUUUUUAAAUUAAUAAAAUAAAUAAUUUUUUUAAUUUAAAUGAACUAUAUAUCUAAAAAUUAUUUAUAAAUUUAUAAUGUAAAAUUACUUGAAGAAAAUAUUUUAUUAAUUAGAAAAGAAAAAAAAAACAUCUUUCAAACGUGUUUUUUAUUUUAUUUGUUAAAAUUUUUUUUUUAUUAACUCAACCAAACAUGUUUUUUUGUUUUUGAGAACAAAAACUGUUUUUUAAAAUUCAGUUCCCAAACACAAUUUUUUUUAAAAAAACAUCAAAAACUGUUCUUAAAAACUGUUCUCAAAAACUGUUUUCCAGAACAGUUUUCAAAAACAGCAACCAAACAAGCCCUUAGUGUUUCAUUCUUUGUUUUUGUUUUUGUUUUUCAUAUAGUUUUCAACAUGUGACUGCACUUUGUGGAUGCUUGUUUCUUGGUUAUUUUGAUAUUAGAAUGGAGGUUGGUGUUGGAAAAGUUGAUGUGGAACCACCAAGACAGAAAACUAUAUGGAUGGUAUGGGCAUUGGGUGGACUACUCAUUUCUUCUGUGUCUUGCAUGGCACUCAAGUGUGCUUUCUUGUAUAGGAAGAACUUAGACAUGGUAGAGGACUUGUUAGGAGCAUAAAGGAAGUAAGAAGAAACCUUAAGAAUUAUAGCCAUGAAGGUUAAGAGACUUCUAUUACUCGAAUAACUUUGAGACAUAUCCUAGCAAUAAAAAUUAUACAAUAUUUUACAUGUCCAAACCACCUCUUUUGGGUUCUCUUGACCUUCAACAUUCAAGGGAAAAAACAUUUGAGACUUUAAUGCUUUAAAAGUUAAUGUUUUAGAAAUUUAUAUAAGCAUGUUGACAGAUGUAGUUUUUGAUGCAGGUCAUUGAAUGGGUUGUUAACAAAACCCUUAGAAAUAGAAAUUACAAGUUGAUCUGAACUUUCAAAACUAGUUAUUUUUUCACUUCAAAAUUGAAUAUAAGACUUUGUUAAUGGACAAAUUGCAUUUCAAUAUUGCAGGCUCGAUCUAGUGUAGUACCCACUUGUUGGCUACAAGAAUAGCUUUCAGUAUCACUAUAGCUGUUCUAUUUUGCUGGGGUUGUCUCGGACCAUGUGCUGUAAGAGAACAAUAACUUUCUCGAAGCCCUUUCAGAAGCUUAUAAUAAACCUGAAAAGUUCCCAUGGCACAGUAAGGUAAGGAAAUGGGAUUGCACCUGUGACCUAUUUCAUACUCACACUAGCUCCCGCUGAAAUAAAUUUUUUCCUUCUCUACAUAAUUAGACAUUCGAAUCCUUGAUGCCUACAUGGAUGAGUAAGUGGAGAUUUGGAGGUCUCAAAGGUGAAGCAAACACAGGCAGAAUCACUAAUGUGGUGGGAGCAGAACGUGCAAUGCUACAGCUAAUUAUGAAGAGUAAGAAAUGGCAGCAAAGUCCUCUCCUUGGUUACCAAGUUCAUAUAUCAAAUCAACUGGGUGAUCUCACCUCCACACUGGCAGACUUCUUGUUUCACCCAGAAGGUUUCUCUUACUAUUGGUAUCAGAACUGUGUACAUGUCCAGUUCUUCGGUCUCUUAACUGUAAGCAUACGAACAAUGUUUCUCAAUAUCUGUUGUGCUCAAAAGGCAUCUUAUGCAAGUCCUACAAUUUUGCCGCUUACAAAGUGAGUUUCUUCUUCAUGAGGAAUGAGAUAUUUGAAAGUUGUACUGCUUUUACUUGAAUUCAAUGGAAUAAAUAACAUUUUUUUCCCUUCCCCUGCAGCUAAUUGAGAUUGAUACUUUUAUGAAUGGAGAUAAAUAUGCCAAGCUACAGAACUUAAUUUUAAAAGGGGCUCCUGCAGGCUCAUUGCUGAUGUUUUUUCCAGAUAGUCUUGAUCAUGAUUGCAAGGUUCAACAGUUAAAUUCUAGCUUUCAAGGUAGAGGCAAAAUCGGCUUCCAUCUAUGCUGUUGAAAUAAAAAAUAGUGCAGCAAUUUGUUGAAGUGCUUAGAAACUAAAACCAAACAAUCUCUAGGUCAAGGAAUAAUAUGAAAAUAACGUUAAUUGUGCAUAUAUUAUAUAUAGGUAACUAUGUCUAAAUUGUAACAAUGGACUGCCUAAUACUUUGAUGGAUAAGAAAAUGGUAUUCCUGAAUGCGUUCAGAAAAUAUUGGGGGUCAUGAAACAGAAAGCAUUGUACACCUGAAAAAAGAAGGGUACAGUUCUUAUUCUAACUUGCUCAUUGAUUUGAUAUAUAAUUCCUUGGACGUGAUGGUGUAUUUGGUUUUCAGAAUGCAAAAUUUUAAUUUGUGUACAAGGCAGGUAACCUUGGAACUCAUUUCGAUUGAAAUGGACAUCUGAAUGAAUGAUGUUAUCCUCUUUCUAGUUUCAAUCACUACCCUUGUUUUCAGGUUCUUUAUCCAGUUCUCUUGUUUUCAGCACCUCACCUCUCUUGAAAUGCUGGGGAUAGAGCGGUGUAAUAAACUCAAGUCCUUGCCAAAACAAGGGCUACCAUCCUCUCUUUCUUGUCUUUAUAUUACUGAGGAAGCGGUGCCAAAGGUAUAAAAGGAAAGAAUGGCCCAGCAUUUCUCACAUCCCUGCAUUGCGUUCGAAGAUGAGUCAUCUGAUGAAGAGGUCAUCUUGUCAUGAGGCCCUCGCAUCCAAGUUCUUGCUUUUCUCUGCAAUUAUUGAUUCAGGUACUCCUGCUCUUAUUGUGCAAAUUAUUGAUUUGAAAAAAAAUAAUUAAAUGUUGGUUGGAUGUGGUUUUUGCUAUCAAAAUUUGAAUUAAAAAAGUAAACACUCCCUACCAAAAUUAUUAGCUCAGUGCAUAUACUAUAAAUUAUUCCUAGCUAACUUAAAUAAUAUUUCUUGAAAUUUAUUUGUUUCAUUCAUUUGCAUUUUUAUGCAUUUACUAACCAUUUCCCAUUUCCAAGCAAGGUCUAGUGUAAUAAACCUAGUGUGAUGAAUUUCUCAAUCUGCCCUCUUCCACAGGUGACCUACAAAAAGUAGGAAGUACUGCCUUGAAGGUUACAUCAGCUUGCUAAGUUGGUAUAGCAGCAUGAUGAACAUGAGAAAAAUUCAAUUCCUCAUUUAUUUUUUACAAUACCAUAUUCUAAAGAAAAUGUCCAAACCAUACAUAAAUUUUUGUCAUCCCAAAAGCUAAAAUUCAUAGCAACAUUGAAUCGAUUAAUUUUACCAAUAUUUAUUUAUUAACAAAAAUUUAAGUGAUAUUUUAAAACUUAAUUUCAUCAAUUUAACAUACCCAAAAAUAUUAAAUCCACUAAAUUUUGUUCCUACAAUUUUCUCAAUUUGACCAAUUCAUAUUCUAAUUCUGCCAAAGGCCCAUGGAACAAAUUCAAGACUUACCCUUGACCUAAUUUCAACCUUUAACAACCAAUGCUCACUUUUGACUAAAUUUUCUAACUUGUUUGACAAAAAUUUUAAUACUAUAAACUGACGUAGACCCCAAAUUUUAAGACCUUAUCAAUGGGUUUCAAAAUGGGUAGCCUUCUUUUUAAACUAUAAUUUAUUGGCUUAGGCUUUGUUUGGACUUGUCUUUGGUUAUUGGGUUCGAGAUAUAUAUUGCUUUGGUCUUGCUUUGGUUGUGGCCAUGGGCUUGUUUGUUGGGAUAUUGAAUUUUUCGACUUAGGCCUACUGGUGAGCUCUUAGCUUACUGGGCUUUUUAAGUCUUUGUCUUUGGGUUCGGCUUUCAUUUGAUUUAUUUGGACAUGGAAAAUUUAAUGGACUUUCAUUUGAUUUACUUGGACAUGAUUUACAUUCCAAAUGGACUUCACCACAUGGAUCUCACAUCUCUCCAGAGCUUGUGUAUUGAUCAUUGCCCUAAUCUGGUAUCUUUAAUAGCAAGGAGGAUUGCCCACUCCAAAUCUAAGAGAGCUUGUUAUAAUUGACUGCGAGAAACUCAAGUCACUACCCCAAGGGAUGCACACCUUCCUUACAUCCCUUCAUUAUUUGUAUAUAUCUAAUUGUCCAGAAAUUGAUUCAUUUCCAGAAGGAGGUUUGCCCACUAAUCUAUCUGAGCUUGACAUCAGGAAUUGCAACAAACUUGUGGCCUGUCGGAUGGAGUGGGGCUUGCAAAUGCUUCCCUUUCUUAGAAGCUUGUGGAUUGGAGGACUUGGAGUCAUUUCCCGAGGAGCAGUUUCUGCCCUCUACUCUCACCUCUCUUUCAAUUAGGGAUAUUCCAAAUCUGAAAUCCCUGGACAAUAAGGGCCUUAAGCACCUCACCUCUCUUGAAACUUUGAUGAUUAACAACUGUGAAAAGCUCAAGUCCUUGCCAAAACAGGGGCUGCCCUCCUCCCUUUCUCGUCUUUAUAUUUGAGGAUGUCCUCUACUAAAGAAGCGGUGCCAAAAGGAUAAAGGGAAAAAAUGGCCCAACAUUUCUCACAUCCCCUGCAUUGUGAUAGUUAAUGAAAAUGGUUUGUCAAAUGAAGAGGUCAUCUUGUCAUGAGGCCCUUGAAUCCAAGCUCUUGCCUUUCUCUGCAAUUAUUGAUUCAGUACGUACUUUCUGCUUUUAUUUAUGUUUUGUGCAAUCCACACACACCGAGUUUGUGUAUCGUUUAUUAAAUAGGAGCAAAAAGGAAGUAUGAAGAAAAGUUAAGAACUAUGACCAUAGAGGUUAGAUCAGCUUGCUAAGUUGAUACAACAACACAGAGCAACAUACUUCACCUAUUACUGAUCAAAUAACUGAGAGACACAUCCUAGCAAGAAAAAAUUGUAUAAUAUUUUACAUAUUGAAACCACCUUUGCUGGGUUUUCUAGACGUUCAACAUGCAGGGGAAAAAACAAUCAAGACGUUAAUGAUUAAAAAGUCUAAAUUUUAGAAAAUCAUAGAAGAUGUUCUCGAAUGUAGUUUUUGAUGCAGGUUAUCAAAUGGGCUGUCGACAAAACCCUUAGAAAUAGAAAUUAGAGGUUGAUCUGAACUUUCAAAUCUUAGUUAUUUUUUCACUACAAAAUUUAAUAUAAGAUUCGGUUAAUGGACAAAUUGCAUUUCAAUAUUGCAGGCUUAUAGUGUAAAUGCAAACUUGGUAGCUGUCAGAAAAGCUCUCAGUACUACCAUAGCUGUUUUAUUUUGCUGGGGUUUUAUGUCCGACCAUGUGCUGGAAGAGAACAAAAACUUUCUCCAAGCCCUUUCAGAAGCUUAUAAUAAACCUCAAAAGUCCUCAUGCCCAUUAAGGUAGGGAAAUGGGAUUGUACCUGUGACCUGUGACCUGUUUCAUACUCCUUACUAAUUUUCUCUUUUAUUUUUUCUUUUUUCUUUUCUAAUUUAUUAGAUCUUUGAAUCCUUGAUACGUGGAUGUGUACGAGGAGAUCUGGAGGUCUCAAAAGUGAAGCAAAAGUGGUGCAGAAUCAGUAAUCAUUGGAACUAGCAGUAUGCAGUGGGGAUCAGAACAACUUAUUCAGUUCUUUCUCGCUUGAAUCAACUUGCUAUGCUACCACUAUAUGUGAAGAGUGAGGAAUGGAAGAAAAUCGCUCUCCUUGGUUACCGAGUUCAUAGAUCAAAUAAAGUGGGUGACUUCACCUCACCCACCACAAUGCCAUGCUACCUCGUCUCUUCAAUACGUACAACUGUUGGUAGUUGGUGCAGACUUUUUGUUUCACCCAGAAGGUUUCUCUUACCAUUGUUAUCAAAAUUGUCUGGUUCUUCAGUCUCCUAACUGUAAGCAUAUGAAAGAUGUUUCCAAAUAUAUGUUGUGCUCAAAAUGCAUCUUCUGCAACUCCAGCAAUUUUUCUGCUUACAAAAUUACUGUUGAUAUGCUGAUGUUGUUACUUUUAUGCCUGUGAUUUAUAACAUUUUUUCCCUUCCUCUAGAGAUAAUUGAGCUUGUUACUUUUAUGAGCCAAUAUAAAUAUGUCAAAUCAUAGAACAGGAAGUGGUUUCAGGGGAGUGUCUUAACAUGGUCCAUGUUCUAGUGGCAAGUUAUCAAGUAGGAUUAAAAUUAGAUGCCUUGUGCUCUUUGCUAAGCACAAGUAAAGCGACGUGUUAGAAAAGGGUCUCCUGCAAGGCUCAUUACUUCUUGCUAUCACUGUGUUUAACAGCUAUGCUUUGUAUUCCAUGCAGUAGUAAAAUUCAAAAGAAAUAAACUGUGUAGAGGUUGUAGGGUUGUUCCCUAAUACAUGAGCUGAAAUCUCCUCCUAAAAGCUUGAACAUGUUCAACUUGAAGCCAGUUUAGAGGUGAAAUGAAGGUGAUAUCAGCAAAUUUCAUGCUAGUUCCACGGUGUCUACCUUUACAGUUUGAAGUUUACCUUCCUAUGUUCCAUUGCUGAUUUUUUUUGCCAGACAUUCUUGAUUAUGAUUGCAAAGUUGAACAGCUAAAUUCUUGCUUUCAUGGGGUGGGCAACAACUUCUAAUUAUGCUCUUGAAAUAAAGAAUAGUGCAGUAGAUUUGAAGCACUUGGGAAGUAAAGCCAAACAAUCUCCAGGGCAAGGAAUUAAUAUGAAAAUAUAGUACAUUGUGCAUAUAUUAUAUGUAGGGAAGUAUGUCUGGAUUGUAAUAGUAGCUGCCUAAUACUUUAAUGGAUGAGCAAAUAGCACUCCAGAAGGCAUUGAUAAACUAUUGGGUUCCUGAAGCAGAUCACCAUUUUUCAACUUUCUUGCUCUCCAUAAAAAUCAGGACUCCAAUUUGGUACCGCUUUACAAGGGAUUAGAGAUUGCACCCUUUUCUUAAAUGCAUCAACUUAGCCAAUGAUUUAUUAUGAAGGCAAUGUCGAACACUGAAGAUGAGCUUUGAGAUUUUAACUCGUAGAAAAAGAAAAUUUACAAUGCUUAUUGUAACUUGAUCACUGAUUUGUUACAUAAUUCCUUGGACUUGAAGGUGUGUUUGGUUUUCAGAAUGAAUUUUGAUUUGUUUAAAAGGUAGAAAACCUUAAAUUGGCCCAUUUUGCUUGAAAUGGAUUUCUGAAUGAAUGAUGUGGUCCUCUUUCUAGUUUCAGUCACUACCACGUUUGAUUUGUCUGAAACAACUUCUUAGUCCACUGGUUCAUAUUAGCUGCCGAAUUACACGCCUUAGGCUUUCAGUUAGACAUGGGAACAGAUUAAGCUUGUUAUGCACGUCAAUUGUUAAUUGCUUUUAUAGUUGCUUUGAUUCACAUAGCUUUGGAGUUCUUGAUACUAAUAUUAGUACAAAUUUUUGUUUGUAGAAGUUUUAAUUGCUUCUAAAUCAUUAGUUAAGUUCUACCUUAUUUUCAUUUACUACUCAUUGCAAAUUGUUCUUUGAUUUUUUCUUAAUAUUUCAAAUUUCUGGCUUUUAACCUCUGUUUGCUUGCAAGUUCCAACUGCUUUCAACAUUGAAGCUUGAUUAGUCUAUGGGUACAAACUUAGUUUGAAUCAUUGUAGGCUCACUUCUAGUAUGAUUUCAGUGAUCUAGUAACUACAAAUUAUUGUGCUCCUUUAAUCUUCCACAUAAAUGCAAAUCUACUUGGUUCUUCUUCUACAACUUACCUGAAUAUAUUUUUGAAUCAAAAUCCUUUGUUACAGCAGGAAUAGUACCCACUAAUGACUGACUAAAUUUGGAAUUGAUAAAUGGAAGGGAAACACAAACUAGGUCUGUAAUGAAUGCAGUAAAGGUAAAAGAAGAAAGUACCUGAAUGAAAUUUGCAGUCCCAUCAGUGUGAAGAAAAGCAGAGUUUCCAUGGAAGGGCCUCAUGGUAAGAUGACUUAGCAUCAAUCUUUAUGCAAGGAACAUGCCCAAUUGUGGGCCAAUCUUUCCUUUUAGCAAAAUGAAUGGUGUAAAGUGCUUGAGUUGGUAACAAAAUGUGAAAAGUGGGGGUUUGAGGUUUCAACACAAUUUUCUCUUGAAGAAAUUAUCCCUAACCUAAAUUUUCAAUGCUUAGGUUGGAUUUGGUUUGGAUGGCCCAUAGACUGAUUGGGCAGAGUAAGGUGGUCCUAAGGGUCAUGGGGCUAAGGAUGGGCUAGGCUUAUAUGUAAUUUGCACCUUGAAUCUAAAUUUUAUAUUUAUAUGCAUCUACACUUUUCACACAUCCAUCCCGAAACUUAAAUCUUUUUAAUAUAUCCACUUGGUUAAUUUUUUCUUCCAUACCUUCUCUUCUACCUUCUUACCUCAUUUCUUCUUAGUCAAAACAAAAAUCAUCUCCCAAGCUUCUUUGUCACAAAAAAAUACAUUUGAAAUAAGUUUAAAGCUUCUUUGUUUCACAUGAAUGUUUUUAGUAUUAUUAGUUAUAUAAUUUUUUAUAAAUAUUUAUUGUAAAAAUAGUUAGAAAACAUUUAUGAUGAAUUUAACAUAUUUUGAGGCAAAAAGAAUAUUUUAAAAAAUAAAAAAUAAUAAUAUUUUUGUCCAAUAAUUGAUAGAAUUCAAUUUAAUUCAAUAGCUACAUAUUUUAUAGAUAUAGGAACACUUAGUUUAGGUUGGCAAUUUUAUUCCAUCCAUUCUAUUUUAGGACUUUGGAUAUUUAAUUUUAUGUGAUUUAUAUUACCUGAUGAAGACUCCAGAUUUGUAUAAAACCAACCUCCAAAAAUCCAAAUAAGUAUGAUUAAGUUAAUCAAAAGGCUAAUUAAUGACUUGUACAGGGCAUAAAGUGGCCUUACUUAUAGCAAUUAAAGUCAAUGUUUUGGUUUAAAAAUCCUUUCAUAUCUUCAUUAUAUAAGUAAAUAAAAUGGCAACAUAAUCUUAAAUAUUACAUUUAUAAUUAUUAUUCAAUAUAUCAUCUUUCUUAUAGUAAAAAAAGAAUAACAACAUACGCAAUUGGACCACAAAUAUAUACUCAAAUAAAAACAAUUUAGGUUAUAUUCAAUUCAACAUCAUGUACAAUUAUUAUAAUUAACAUAAAUAUAUAAAACAAAUCUCAUCACAACAUAAGUUAUUUGCUAGUAUAAUAUGAACUGUGGAUGAAUUUCCCAUCAACAAAUUUUUCAUUAUUUUUAAAAUUUUAUUAAAAAAUGUUUGUGAAUAAUCAUCAAGAUUCCGACCCCACUUUUGACUAACCCAUCAUGUGAAUGCUUAAAAAGACACUAGUACUUCCAAUAUUAUUUCUAUUUUGUCUAAUAAUUUGUGCAUCUUGAUUGUUUUAAGGGUUAUAUAAUUUUAUUUUUUAUUGAUUUUGAGAGUAGUUUUUAUAAAAAUAUUUUUAAUUUAUUUUAUUUUUAUUAAUGACAUUUUCACAGAAACGUUUGUUAAGAGAUCAGGUAACAAUCCGAUAUAAAUUUCUUUUUAUAAUUUUUAGUAACAUAUUAUGUAAGAAAAAUCAUAUUUUAAAGAAAUACAUAGUAAAUGCUAGUUUAAGAAUGAAAAGAUUCUUUAACUUUAUGAAACAAUUUUCAUAACUUUGUUAAAACAUGCUUUUUAAGUAUUUAGAAGCACUUUAAUCCUAUCAGAAUGAGCAACAUAGAUGUUUUUAUGUACCAUUCUAGCUAUUAAACAAUUUUCUAUUAAUCAAUUAAAAAAAGUAGAUGAAUGAGAUAUUAGAAAAAUGUAUACAUGCAUUUCAUGAGUUUUUCCUAAUCACAAAUCAAGUCUUUCGAAAGCUAAUAUGAAAAGGAUAAGAAGUAGGGUUACCUCUUUUUUAAUAUCUUCAAAUCAUACAAGAAGGGUAGAGACCUACACUACAUAAAUAGUCAACUUACAUACCAUCAAGGUUUGAAAAAAAUGGUUCAGAUGAUCGGACAACCAUCAAUAUGGACAUGACUAAAGCAAUUUGAUUUACUUUUUUUAUAAACUUACCCAAAAUCUCUUUCACUAAUUUUUUACUCAUAGAAGAUAUUCAAUCAUUCUACUUUUUUUUUUCUCAUGGUGUUAAUAUUUAUCUUCUCUUUUCUCUAUAUUAAAUCUUAUGGUAUACUUAAUUAAUUCACUCUCAUAUACGGAUACUAUUAAAAUAUAAUCAUAUGCGCUAAAAUUAAAUCAUUAUAUGGUUUGAACAAUAAAUUAAAAAUUCUUUCACUACCACUUCAUCAAGACAAGCAUACAUGUAAAUCUCAUUCCUUCUUCUUAAUAUUAAAGGUUUGAUAUCAUUUACCUUCUUCUUAAUACCUUUUUUUUUUUUAAUCUAAAGACCUAUAAAAUAAAAAAAUAAAAAAAAAACCUUUUGUUCUUCUUUUUAUACAUUACACCAAAAUUUUAAAAGCAAACUUUGGCACCAUUCAAUUAUUUUGAAAAAAUAUCCAACAUUUUGGAUAUUCCUUUUUGGUAAAUCCAUCUUAAAUCUAAUCCCAUCUUCCAAGACAGUCAUCUUAUUCAAUGAUUCCUAUCAAAGAGCCCAUAUAUUUGUAUCUUUUUGUAGGAUAAAACAAAUAUAAAGCCUAUUUGCAAAUUUUGGCAACCAUCUAAUUGCUUAAACACAAAUAUUAUAAGCUUAAUUAUUAUUUUGAGGGUCCAAAUUUGAAGAAUGGUUCUUUGCUUUUUAAUUGGGUAGGUGGAAUGGUGGAAGUAAUUAUUAUUUUGAGGAUCCAAAUUUGAAGAUUGGUUCUUUGCUUUUUAAUUGGGUAGGUGGAAUGGUGGAUGUAAUUAUUAUUUCGAGGAUCCAAAUGCGGAAUGACUCAUUUUUUUUGUCCCCAUUCAAGUUUUCAACACCUAAUAUUAAAAAGUUGGUACAUUAUUUUUUUCCAACUACACCCACUUGUAAUAUUUUUUUCCCGAAUCAAAUCAAUUUCUUUCUUUAAUUUCUUUUCUUUUGGCAUUUGCUUUUGCUGUCAAAUUCUUUCAAGGUUCCUGAAAUACCCUCUUCUGUUUUCACAUUUCUACUAUACGGUAAGCACGAGCUUAAUAUUGGACAAGGAUAAAACAGUAAUUAAAGCUGGAGGAACUCUUCUUCUUUCCCAACUUCAUGUUUCUACACAGCAGAUGCUUUGAGAGUGCAAAGAGUUUCCCAACAAAAGCUUGAUCCCGAGAUUCCUUUCAAAAUUAUGCUUAAAACAACACCAUUUACUUUCAAUAUGUUUCCAUUUUGUCCAUUAGAACAAUUCAUGUAUAUAACUUUAUUUUUUUAUUAAUUUUGAGAAUACUUUUCAUAAAAAUAUUUUUAGUUUAUUAUAUUUUUAUUAAUAACAAUUUCAUAUAAAUAUUUGUCAAGAGAUCAAGUGAGACUCAGAUAUAAAUUUCUUUUUAUAGUAUUUUUAGCAUUAUAUUAUCUAAGACAAAUAAUAUUUUAAAGAAAUACAUGUUAAAUGAUAGUUUAGAUAUCAAAGAUUCUUUAAUUCUAUGAAGCAUUUUUCGUAACUUUGUUAAGCAAAAUUUUGAUGAUCAAGUACUUUAAUCCCACCAAAAUGAGUCUUUAAAAUGUUUUUAUGUACCAUUCUAGCUAUUAAAUAUGUUUUCAUUAAUCUAUUAAAAAACCUAGAUCAAUUAGAUUUUAGAAAAAUAUAUGCAUUUCAUGAGUCUUUGCUCACCCACAAACUAAGAUUGUGUUUGUUUUUUUUGUUUUUUUAUGAAAGCAAUUUAUUUUCAGAAUUUAGAUAGUUUGUUUUUAUAUUUUUUCAUAACUUAUUAUAAAUUUUUUAUUAAAUAAAAAAAGCGAAAAUAUAUAGCUUUUUCUAAAUAAAAAAAAAUAACAUAUUGGUUUUUCUUUAUUUUUUAAUACUUAAUAGAAAUAAAAUACUACAAAAACAAACAACAUAAUAUUUAACACUAUUAAGUAUUAAGGUUCUAUUUAGAAUUAAGUAAAAAAACAAGGACCCCCUAAGUCUUUUGAAAGUCUUUUAUUUAAUAUCUUCAAUCAUACAAAAAGAGUAGGACCUACAUUACAUAAACAAUCAACUUAUAUACCAUCAAGGUUUAGAAAAAAUAAUUCAAAUAGUCGGACAACCAUCAAUGUGAAUAUGAUUAAAGCAUUUUGAUUUAUUGUUUUAUAAACUUAUAUGGGAGUCUAUUUCACUAAUUGUUUUAAUCAUGGAAGAUACUCCAUCGUUAUACUUUUUUCUCGUAUUUAGAUUCUAAUAUUUAUCUUCUCUUUUCUUGAUAUUCAAUCUUAGGUACACUUAAUUAAUUCACUCUCGUACAUGGAUACGAGAAUGAAGAGAGGCACCAAAGUUAAAUUACCAUAUGGUUUGAACAAUUAAAAAUUCUUUCUCUACCAUUUCACUAAGACAAGCAAGUAUGAAAAUUUCACAGCUUUAUCUCCUAAAUUUUCAUCUUUCUUUUAUAAGUUAUCUCGGGCCAGCGAUGAUAAUUUUUCUAGAGUUUAAAAAAAUAAUAAUAAUUAAAUAAUACAAAAAAAAAAUUAAAAUUAAAUUUAUAGAAGUUCAAUUUAUUUAAUAAAAAGUUUAAUUUAUAAAUAAAUUUACUUCCAACACCUAUCAGGAGGAUGUUACAAUUUAAAAUUUUAUUAGUUCAACUUCUGUUAAUGUUUUUAUUAUAAUAAAGAUGAAACAUUAGAAUAAAAAUUGAAGUUGAGGGAACGUCGGAUUUUGAAUAGAGCACUCCAAAAUAUUAAAGUGAGAAUUAAUUAAGAGCUUUCUUAAAGAAAACAUUGGUUAGCAUAUAGUAAUUUUAAUUGAGUGUAGCUUCUAUUAUAUAUUUAAUAUUUUUAUAUUUAAAAUUUUGUUUUUACGUUGCUGCAAUUAAAAGGUUUUUUUUAUUAUUUUUUUCUUUUUUAGAGUUUUACAACUGUAACUCUUCUCAUUUUGAUUAGUAGAUUAUUGAGUGUUGAUGUAUUUCAUGGAUGUAGGGAUCACAUUAAUCGUUGAACCACGUUAAAAAUUUUAUUUAUUUUUUAUUUUCUAUUUGUGUGUGUACGUGAUUUGAUUAACACAUUUGACACACUAUCCCACAAAAACAUUGAAUAGGUGCCCUAAAAGAGUUCAAGGAAGACCCCCACAAGCUUAGAGGGUUGGAGUCGUGGGAAGCCUAACAUUACAAUAUAAGAUUGUUUAGUUGUAUAUUCUAUACUUAUAUAUUUGGUGCAUUAUAAAAUAAAAUAAAAAUUGAUAAUAAGGUGAAAAAUUAAUUUUUAUUGAUUUAUAAUUGGGUGACAAAAGACUAUAAUGUAUAUAAUUCAUAAAUCAAUAAAUCAAGACUAAAGCAACUUGAUUAAUUAUUUUAUGGACCCAUGUGGGAGCCCUUUUCGUUAAUGGUUUUACUCAUAAAAGAAAUUCAAUAAUUCUACCAUUUUCUCAUGCUUGGGUUUUAACAUUUUAUAGAACUACACCCACUUGUAAUACUUUUUCCAGUCAACAAUUUUAAUUGAGUGUAGCUUCUAUAAAUAAUUGAUUUAUUGAGUAGUUUUAAAACUCGGAUGUUGAAGUAAAGUCAGUUUUGAAAAAAUUGGCCCCAUUAACAGCUGGACCGAAUAAUUUUCAAACCUAAAGUCAGUGCGGACAGCAAUAAAGCAAUUUGAUUGCUUGUUGUGCAGACACACCCAUGUGAUGUGACACUGCCUUUCCCUGAUUGCUUUAUUCAUUGAAGAUAUGCCAAAAGCAUGCAUUGUAUUUUUUUGCUUUUUCUUUUUCUUUUUUCUUUCAUUGUUUCAAUACUAAUGGACAAUUCUUCUCAGUAAUUUGUGGAAGUUCUUAAAGAACCCUUCUUUUUUUGUAAUUUCAUUGUGAGCAAAGGUGAUAUUUUGAUUGUAGAAGGGUGAACAAGUAAUUAGACCCAUCUCAUAUAAUUAAGAGCAAGUUUUGAGAGUGCAGAGGCCUUCACAACUCUCUGGGUUUUCUUCAUUGUAUGUUUCUGAACUUCUGAAUCCUUCGUUUCCAAAGAAAAAUGGUUGUGGUGGAGGCGUUUCUGUCUUCCUUGUUUGAGGUGGUGCUGGACAAGCUGGUGGCUGCCCCUUUGUUAGAUUAUGCACGCCAGCUCAAAGUAGACACAGCAGUGCUCCAGGAGUGGAGGAACACUUUGUUGCAGCUCCAAGCAGUGCUACAUGAUGCUGAGCAGAGGCAGAUUCAGGACGAAGCAGUGAAGAGGUGGCUGGACGAUCUCAAAGCUUUAGCUUACGACAUUGAAGAUGUCCUUGACGAGUUUGAAGCUGAAGCUAAGCGGCCCAGUUCGGUACAAGGACCUCAAACCAGCAGCAGCAGCAGCAGCGGCAAGGUAUGGAAGUUCAACCUCUCUUUUCAUCCUAGCGGUGUGAUUUCCAAAAAGAAGAUUGGUCAAAAAAUAAAGAUAAUCACCCAAGAGCUAGAGGCUAUUGUAAAAAGAAAGUCUUUCCUUCGUUUGAGUGAGAGUGUUGGAGGGGUGGCAUCAGUAACUGAUCAACAAAGGCUGACUACUUUCUUGGUAGAUGAGGUUGAGGUUUAUGGCAGGGAUGGUGAUAAGGAGAAGAUCAUAGAAUUGUUGCUGUCUGAUGAACUAGCUACUGCUGAUAAAGUUCAGGUGAUUCCAAUUGUUGGUAUGGGUGGGGUUGGAAAAACAACCCUUGCUCAAAUCAUCUAUAACGAUGACAAGAUGCAGGACAAGUUCGAUUUCCGAGUCUGGGUGUGCGUGUCUGAUCAAUUCGAUUUGAUAGGAAUAACAAAAAAAAUUUUAGAGUCAGUCUCUGGCCAUUCAUCCCAUUCUGAAAACUUGUCAUUGCUGCAAGCUAGUUUGCAGAAAGAGUUGAAUGGAAAAAGGUUUUUCCUUGUGCUGGAUGAUAUAUGGAAUGAGAACCCCGAUAACUGGAGUACCUUACAAGCCCCACUCAAAGCUGGAGCACUGGGCAGUGUAAUCAUAGCAACCACCCGCAAUGAAAAAGUAGCAUCAAUUAUGGGCACAACUCCUUUUUGUCGUCUUAGCGAACUAUCAGAUGAACAUUGCUGGUCAGUAUUUGCAUAUCGUGCCUUCGAAAAUAUAACUCCAGAUGCAAUAAAAAAUUUGGAACCUAUUGGUCGGAAAAUAGUACAGAAAUGCAAAGGUUUGCCCUUGGCAGCAAAAACGCUAGGAGGUUUAUUGCGGUCUGAACAAGAUGAAAAGGCUUGGAAGGAAAUGAUGAAUAACAAAAUAUGGGAUUUACCAACGGAACAGUGUAACAUUUUUCCAGCUCUACACUUGAGCUAUCAUUAUCUCCCCACAAAAGUAAAGCAGUGUUUUGCAUAUUGCUCCAUCUUUCCCAAGGAUUAUGAAUAUCAAAAGGAGGAGUUAAUUUUGUUAUGGGCGGCACAAGGUUUUGUGGGUGACUUCAAAGGAGAGGAGAUGAUAGAAGAUGGUGAAAAAUGUUUUCGGAACCUAUUGUCAAGGUCAUUCUUUCAACAAUCAAGUCAAAAUAAGUCAUUGUUGGUGAUGCAUGAUUUGAUUCAUGAUUUGGCCCAAUUUGCAUCUAGAGAAUUUUGUUUCAGAUUGGAAGUGGGAAAGCAAAAAAACUUUUCAAAGAGGGCUCGACAUUUGUCAUACAUCCAUGAACAAUUCGAUGUCUCCAAGAAAUUUGAUCCCCUUCGUAAGGUUGAUAAGUUACGGACCUUCCUACCAUUAGUUAUGCCUGCAGCUUAUGUUCCAACUUGCUACUUAGCUGAUAAAGUUCUACAUGAUCUAUUGCCAACAUUCAGAUGUUUGCGGGUUUUAUCCUUGUCUCACUAUAAUAUCACUCAUUUACCUGAUUCAUUUCAAAAUUUGAAGCAUUUGCAGUAUUUGAACCUUUCUAGCACCAAGAUAAAGAAGUUACCUAAAUCCAUAGGUAUGCUUUGCAAUUUGCAAUCACUGAUGUUGUCAAAUUGUCAUGGGAUUACCGAGCUGCCUCCUGAAAUCGAAAACCUCAUCCACCUACAUCAUUUGGAUAUUUCUGGAACCAAAUUAGAAGGGAUGCCAAUAGGAAUCAAUAAACUAAAAGAUCUUCGAAGAUUGACUACUUUUGUUGUUGGCAAGCAUAGUGGUGCAAGAAUUGCAGAGUUACAAGAUCUGUCCCAUCUGCAGGGAGCACUCUCCAUUUUUAACUUGCAAAAUGUGGUGAAUGCUACGGAUGCUUUAAAAGCUAAUUUGAAGAAAAAGGAAGACCUUGAUGACUUGGUGUUUGCGUGGGAUCCAAAUGUGAUUGAUAGUGAUUCGGAGAAUCAAACCAGAGUUCUCGAAAAUCUUCAGCCUCAUACCAAGGUGAAAAGGCUCAACAUUCAACACUACUAUGGCAGAAAAUUUCCAAAAUGGUUUGGAGAUCCUUCAUUCAUGAAUUUAGUUUUCUUACGACUUGAAGAUUGUAACAGUUGCUCGUCCUUGCCACCACUUGGGCAGUUACAAUCUCUCAAGGAUCUCCAGAUUGCGAAGAUGGAUGGAGUACAAAACGUUGGUGCAGAUUUCUAUGGGAAUAAUGAUUGUGACUCAUCUUCAAUUAAGCCGUUUGGAUCCCUAGAGAUUCUGAGGUUUGAAGAUAUGUUGGAGUGGGAAAAAUGGAUUUGUUGUGACAUUAAGUUUCCUUGUCUGAAGGAGCUUUAUAUCAAGAAAUGUCCAAAGCUGAAAGGAGAUAUACCUAGGCACCUUCCUCUUUUAACAAAAUUGGAGAUUAGUGAAAGUGGGCAGCUGGAGUGUUGUGUUCCAAUGGCUCCCUCUAUUCGUGAAUUGAUGUUGGAGGAAUGUGAUGAUGUGGUGGUUAGAAGUGUUGGCAAGCUCACCUCACUAGCUUCUUUGGGCAUAAGCAAAGUUUCUAAAAUACCAGAUGAAUUGGGACAACUGCAUUCUCUUGUAAAGUUGUCUGUGUGUCGUUGUCCCGAGCUAAAGGAAAUUCCACCAAUUCUUCACAACCUUACAUCUCUUAAACACUUGGUGAUCGAUCAAUGUAGGAGUCUUUCAUCUUUUCCGGAGAUGGCGCUGCCACCCAUGCUUGAAAGGCUUGAAAUCAGAGACUGUCGCACUCUGGAGUCCCUACCAGAGGGAAUGAUGCAAAAUAAUACGACUCUGCAAUACUUGGAAAUCCGUGAUUGUUGUUCUCUGAGGUCCUUGCCCAGGGACAUUGAUUCAUUGAAGACACUUGCAAUCUACGAGUGUAAGAAAUUGGAGUUAGCACUCCACGAGGAUAUGACGCACAACCACUACGCUUCCCUUACCAACUUCAUGAUAUGGGGUAUUGGUGAUUCUCUGACGUCCUUUCCAUUAGCCUCCUUCACAAAGCUUGAGACGCUUGAAUUAUGGGAUUGUACAAAUCUGGAGUACCUUUACAUUCCAGAUGGACUUCACCACGUGGAUCUCACAUCUCUCCAGAUAUUAUAUAUCGCUAAUUGCCCUAAUCUGGUAUCUUUUCCGCAAGGAGGAUUGCCCACUCCUAAUCUGACAUCUCUUUGGAUAAAAAACUGCAAGAAGCUCAAGUCACUGCCGCAAGGGAUGCACUCCCUCCUUGCAUCCCUUGAAUCAUUGGCAAUAGGAGGUUGUCCAGAAAUUGAUUCAUUUCCAAUAGGGGGUUUGCCCACUAAUCUAUCUGAUCUUCACAUCAAGAAUUGUAACAAACUCAUGGCCUGUCGGAUGGAGUGGCGCUUGCAAACGCUUCCCUUUCUUAGAAGCUUAUGGAUUAAAGGACUUGAAGAAGAAAAAUUGGAGUCAUUUCCUGAGGAGCGGUUUCUGCCCUCCACUCUCACCAUUCUUUCAAUUGAAAAUUUUCCAAAUCUGAAAUCCUUGGACAAUAAUGACCUUGAGCACCUGACCUCUCUUGAAACUCUGUGGAUUGAGGACUGUGAAAAGCUCGAGUCCUUGCCAAAACAGGGAUUGCCCCCCUCCCUUUCUUGUCUUUAUAUUGAGAAGUGUCCUCUGCUGGAGAAGCGAUGCCAAAGGGAUAAAGGGAAAAAAUGGUCCAACAUUUCUCACAUUCCCUGCAUCGUGAUAUUUAAUGAAAAGGAUUUGUCAAUUGAAGAGGUCAACAUGUCAUGAGGCACUUGCAUCCAAACUCUUGCCUUUCUAUGCAAUUAUUAAUUCAGUACGUACUUUCUACUUUUAUUUAUGUUUUGUGCAAUCCACACAACCGAGUUUGUGUAUCAUUCUCUUCUACCAAUCAAUUCCAUCUCACCAUACACCUUCCAUGGCUGCUCCAGAAUUGAAACCAAUAUUUUAAACUCUAAUACAAAAUCAAAACAAACUACUACUUGAAAAUUACUUUUAUUUUUUAAUUAUAUGAAUAUUAAAUGUGUGUAGUAGUUUUAAAUUUCUUUCUUUCUUUUUUAAAUAUCUUUAGUAGUUAUAUAACAAAUAGAAAAAUUGAAUUUUAAAGGAUUUUUCAAUAAAUUUUAAGUGAUUUUCCUUGAUUUUAUUAUCAAAAUUUUAAAAUAAAAAGUAAAAAUACCCCCCAAAAUACACCUUUGAAAUUAUUUUCAAAUUAAAUUUUUUUUAAAUCCAAAUAAAUAAAAAAGUACAAAUGAACAAUCCUUAAUUUUUGUGGGAGUUUUUUUUUCAUGUUUUUUAGUUUUUUUUUUUUAAAAAAAAAUUAUUUGAUCAACAACCCUUGUAUUUGAAUCUUUGAAUUUGUGGUGUGUGUCUUUUAACGUUAAUUUCUUCAAAUAGGAGUAGGCUUAUAUAUGUUGUAUGUUAUCAAUAUCAAAGAAACUAUUAAUAUGUUUAAUUCCUUUGAACCUGAAAACAACUGUACCUAUGAUCUGUAAGUGAAAAACAAGCCAAACAUAUUGACUUUGAAACUAUAAUAUUUUGUAUGAAUUGUCCAAAUAUAUUCAUUUAAGGCUUUUCAUGAACUCUAUGUAGGUUUUUUUUAAUACAAUUUUCGAGACAAAAUGUUGGAGGGCAACAAUCAUUUUCUUAGCAGUUCUAUGUUAUAUGUAAGUACAUGUAUACUUGUUCCUUGGUUCUAAUUUGGUGGGGUAUAGAUUUUUAAGUGACCUUUGUAAACAAUUAGCUCAUUUCUAAUUCUAAUUCCAGUUUCUGUAAUCAUAUUUCAGGGACUGUAAAACUAUUCAUGUCAUGAUGAAUUUUUUAUGCUUGAGUGCAUACAAUCUCGUUAUUGAUCGAGGAGGUUCUCCACCAAACAACUCCAUUCAUAGCUAUAGAGUGCCCUGUUUUCACAUAGGUACAAAUUAUUCCACAAUCCCACUUUCUCACUUACGACAAUAAUUCACAUAUAUGAGUUUCAACUGAAGAAAACUUGAUUUAUAUUUCAUCUCUAGGAAUAAGCAAAAACCUGAAUUAACAAAUGUGGGAACAAUUAGCCAAUCUCAUUGGUUUGGUUGCUGAGGAUUGUCUUCUUUAGAGUUUUGACAUUAUGCUUGCUCCUGAAUUCUCCAUGGUGACACCAUCAAUAUCUAUUCCUUGACUUUGCUCCAUGUGAAAGCUUUCAACUCAUUAGAGCAACUACUAAAGGAUUGUACUUGUGGGUUCUUCAC
RNAcentral lists this long non-coding RNA (25713 nucleotides) under Vitis vinifera (wine grape). RNAcentral's name for it is "long non-coding RNA (VVIN_LNC004329)". The record is from RNAcentral. Lineage: Eukaryota; Viridiplantae; Streptophyta; Magnoliopsida; Vitales; Vitaceae.